Molecule: ribosomal RNA, 388 nt
Filed under: bacterium enrichment culture clone ALO1_GLFRUDD03FV0H7
Lineage: Bacteria
Description: bacterial SSU rRNA
Rfam family: Bacterial small subunit ribosomal RNA
Source: RNAcentral
GAGUUUGAUCUUGGCUCAGAUUGAACGCUGGCGGCAUGCCUUACACAUGCAAGUCGAACGGCAGCACGGGAGCUUGCUCCUGGUGGCGAGUGGCGAACGGGUGAGUAAUGCAUCGGAACGUAUCCUGGAGUGGGGGAUAACGUAGCGAAAGUUACGCUAAUACCGCAUAUUCUGUGAGGCAGGAAAGCGGGGGACCUUCGGGCCUCGCGCUCUUGGAGCGGCCGAUGUCGGAUUAGCUAGUUGGUGAGGUAAAGGCUCACCAAGGCGACGAUCCGUAGCAGGUCUGAGAGGAUGAUCUGCCGCACUGGAACUGAGACACGGUCCAGACUCCUACGGGAGGCAGCAGUGGGAACGUUUGGACAAUGGGGGCAACCCUGAUCCAGCCAUG